This 85-nucleotide transfer RNA is filed under the name Felis catus (domestic cat). It matches the Rfam family "tRNA". From Rfam's summary of the family: Transfer RNA (tRNA) molecules are approximately 80 nucleotides in length. Their secondary structure includes four short double-helical elements and three loops (D, anti-codon, and T loops). Lineage: Eukaryota; Metazoa; Chordata; Mammalia; Carnivora; Felidae. The record is from Rfam by way of RNAcentral. RNAcentral also lists the same sequence under 2 other names.
GCUUGGAUGGCUCAGUUGGUUAAGCAUCUGACUUCGGCUCAGGUCAUGAUCUCACGAUUCGUGGGUUUGAGCCCCACAUCGGGCU